This 634-nucleotide long non-coding RNA is filed under the name Homo sapiens (human). RNAcentral describes it as "HSALNT0354579". The record is from RNAcentral. Lineage: Eukaryota; Metazoa; Chordata; Mammalia; Primates; Hominidae.
AAAACCAGCACUACUUCCUGAAACAUAUUUGAGUCAGUUAGAAGCUAGUUUUCUGAUGAAGAAGAAAGUAAUAAAAACAAGUAAGAAGACAUAAAAAGAAGAUGAAGAAAAGGGAGGAGGAGCAGGAAAAGGAGGAGAAGGAUGAGGGAGAUGAAGAGAAGGAAGAAGCAAAAGCAACCUGAUUUUUGAAAAGAAAAAAGGAACUUCCUCGAACUAAAGCAGUUAAGACCUCGACAUUUGCUCAUAGAAAAAGUCGCUGAGUCGUUUCUAGUUGUGAAGGUGCAAAAGAUGCAGUUAUCCCUUAUGGAAAAUUCCAAGAACUUGUGCCUAAUUUGAGUCAUGCAAACCUGAGUUCUGCAUGACUGAGCUCUGUCACUCAAUGGUUGGGAAAUUUGUGAUCAUCUCUACGCCUUGCUUUCUGCAUCUGUAAAGUGGAAAUGAUAAUAUCUACCUUGUGUGAUUCCUGGAAGAAUUAAAUACAUUAUAUUCAAAAUCUUUUGGUCAAUUGUAAAUUAACAGCAAGCAUAAGUUAUUGUAAACUGAGAGAAUCAAACUUUGAUUAACAUAUUUAGCAUCUUUAAAAUCCACAUAAUUCCAGUUUUUACUCAUGGGAGAGGAUUAUAUUGAAAAUAAU